This 6544-nucleotide long non-coding RNA is filed under the name Homo sapiens (human). Its description in RNAcentral is "non-protein coding lnc-OPRK1-3:10". The record is from RNAcentral. Lineage: Eukaryota; Metazoa; Chordata; Mammalia; Primates; Hominidae.
AAGCCAGUUGUACAGGAACUGCCAAAGGCAACAGAAAUUCUUUCUCCCUAUGUCCCAGCCUACCCCCACUUUACCGAGGCCAACAGCCGCCUCAGAAACCAGAUUCAGGAGCUAACAUGCCCCAGGUCUCACGAGGAUCAGAGACUCCAGAGGCCAGGGAAGGAGAUCAAGGUAGUCAAGCGGGGGUCGUCUCAGAUCUGGUUGUGCUCGAGCUAUGCAAAUGCCUCUCACGGAGAUGCGAGGACCUAUCUAUUAUGAUGACCAGGGCCACAUCCGGAGGGGGCAACAGACUUUCAUCUAUCAGCCCUUUUCAACCACUGAUCUACUAAACUGGAAACACUCUGAACCCUGCCAUCUUGCUCCUGGUAUCAGAGAGCCCUGUCGUGCAUAACUGUGUAGAAGUGUUGGACUCGGUUUACUCCAGCAGACCUGAUCUCCGGGACCAGCCUUGGGCAUCAGUAGACUGGAAGCUAUAUGUGGACAGGAGCAGCUUCAUCAACCCACAAGGAGAGAGAUGUGCGGGAUAUGUGGUGGAACCCUGGACACUGUCGUUGAAGCCAGAUCGUUGCUCCAAGGCACUUCAGCCCAGAAAGAUGAGCUCAUUGCUUUAAUUUGGGCCUUAGAACUCAGUUAAGGCCUUCUACGGUCCCAGGCUUUCUGCUGCAUACACUGAAGGGCCACGAAGUACAGUCAUCUGGACUUGGCACCUGGAAUACAAGGAUGGAAAGCAUCAUUUCUGCCAGCUUCUUAUGGUCCUGAGGCGAGACAGUCAUGAGAGAGGAAAACUGCAAUGACUUCUGACCACUGCCAGCCUCGCUUCCUGCAUUUUCUUCUUCGGCUUACUCUUGCCAAGUUGGAGUUGCCUAACUUCCAAGAGGGUAUUUGCUCUUUUUUUUUUCUCACUCCACAAACUCUUCCCAGGUAGUUCAGUCCACUCCCAUCUACCAGUCACUAUACGCCGAUGAAUGCCAAUAUUAUUAUUUCCAGCUUAGACAUUGUUCUUGGAUUGCAGAUGUGAGGUUUGACUUGUUUACUAGACAUUGCUGGCUGAGGAUCCCUAGCAUAACAUGGCCCAAAUUCAAUUUAUUUCCAAAGCUGUCUCAUCUCCUUUGUUCUCUGUAAUGAUGUUGCUAUCCAUUCGAUCAACAUACUCAGAAAUAUCACCCCCUCCUUCCUUCUUCCAAGAUAAGUGAGUUGCUCACGACAUGAUCAUGUUUUGGCAGUGUACUCUGUCCAUUCCCAUCACUUAGUAAGAAUCAUCUAGGUUAUGCUGAAGUAUGAAGUUAAUCUCCAAAUUUCUCUGGCUCAGUACAGAAAAAGUCCAUUUCUCCCUUCUGCAAUGCACCCAAUGCAGGUCUGCAGGGUCUCUGCUGUGCGUUGUCCCUCAGGGACUCAGGCUGAAGAGGCCCCCUUGUCUUAUCUGGCCACCUCCUCUGCACAUGGCUCAGGAUUUUCCAGGCAAGGGGUUGAGCAGAGGCUUUUCAGUGCUGGGCCUGGAUGUGACAUAAGAUGCUUCUGCUCACAGCCUUGUGGUCAGAACAAGUCACAUCAUCCCUCCUACUUGCAGGGGUGCUGGGCAGCGUAGUCAUCCACAGAUCAGGAGAGGGAGCAGAGGCAGGUGUUCCCGGGCUGCAGCGAUCUCCACUGCACUGCUGUGGGCUGAACUGUGCCCUCCACCCCACCAAGCUUAUAUGCUGCCAGCCUCACCCUCCACACCUUAGAAUGUGGCUGUAUCUCGACAUAGGGUCCUUACAGAGGUAGUUAAGUUAAAGCAGGGUCAUUAGGGUGGGCCCUAAGGUACUCUGACUGGUGUUUUUAUGAGAAGAGGAGAUUAGGACUUACAGGGAGAGACACUAGGUAUGUGAGCACACAGAGAAAAGACCAUGUGAAGACGAGAAGAAGGCAACUGUCUCCAAUCCAGACGGAGAUGCCAGGCACAGCCCUUCUGUCACAACCCUCAGAAGGAACCAACCCUGCCGACACCUUGGCCUUGUACUUCUGGCCUCCAGAACCGCAGGAAAGUACAUUUCUGUUGCUUAGGCCGCUCAGCCUGUGGCACUUUGUUACAGCUUCUCACCCAGUUCAGGCCCUUUUAAUUGAUUGCUGGGCCUUUGCAGUUGUUUUUGCUUCUAAUAUAUUCAUCUCUCAAUUUAUUUCUGGAGGCUGCCACCCGAGGGGCAGAACUUCAAUUGUGUCCCUAAUGGGAAACCUUGCUGGGAUCAUGUGGUCUACAGCACAAGGUUGCUAAAGCAUCUUCUGCCAGAAUUCUGUGAGUAUCUGGUUAGGUGGGUCUGGAAUAUACUGAGUUUAAAAAAGUUAAAUAGGUUUCUUUACUGCAAGAUGUUUCAGAGACUUUAAUAUGCUACUCUGCUGUAUGAAUCUCCAGGCAGGAAAUCUUAUAAAAUGUGUUUCUGAAAUGAAUUUGCACAUAAGACCCUGUUUUCUUGGAGCCUCUGAUAGUGGGUGAAUGCCCAAUCUCUAGUGGGACUUGCAAGACUUUGCAAUUGGGCAGACAUAUUUCUUUUCACCUUAUCUCCCUCUGUCUCUAUGGAGAUACUCCCAUCGCAUCAAAGUUCUUCUUAUUACUUACACAUGGGGUGGCAGCUGUGACAUGCACCCAUCACAUCUCCCUCCAAGAGACCCUACAGGGGAGCACAGUUGGCUGGCAGCUCCCGGUGUCUGCGCCUCCAGGCCCACUGCUCCCUUGGGCGGCUCCCAGUCAGUGGCAAGGUAGCGGGGUUCUGGAGGAGGCCCAUUUCUACCUGCAGUGGGGAAGCUGGGCUCCUCUAAGAGGCAAACUUCUCAGAGACUCCACUGUGGCUCUGCUGAGGCUGAGAACUGUGCUUUUGGUCUGAGCGCAUUCUCCCCAUUCUCCUUCCUGCCCCCGCUCCUUGCGCCGGCCUUAGACCAGCUAGCUGUCUGCAGGCUUUCCCUGCCCACGGCUGCCCCUCCUUUCCCCUUCACAGCCGUUUCCGCCCACAUGCGCCGUGCAUGGUUAAUCGCACCGUGCCAUCCACUUCUCUGAGGACCUGAGUUAGCACACAAAGUAUGUUCGUUCCCUGUGUCCUCACCUCUCCCUGAUGUAUCUUCUCCCUUCCUCUGCUGGCUGUCUGUUGGGAAUCUUGGGAAAGGAAUUUGUGAGUAAUGUUCCAGGCAGCCUAGCUUUUAGGGUGAAUGACUGGUUCUGACUUAUGUCAAUACAUCCUUGAGUCAUGCCAAGAACUGUGGGAUGAUCAAGGACCACGGACCAGUGUCCUGGAAGCAUCGAUGGCUCCAAGCUGCUGGCACCACUGUCCUUGGAAUUACCGAGUGUGAUUUUUAGAGUUACGGGCACAUUUCUCAGGCCCCAUAAAUGUGAUGGAUGGUGAAUUACAGGACUUUUGAGUAUAUAGUGAGUGGACUACAAUUGUGCUGUAUGUAGCCCACUGCUUUGUGCGUGAGGCGAUUUUAGGCCAUUGAAGGAGUUCAGCUGUCCUCCAUAUGAGUCAUUUCCUAGACAGUGUACUCUGCAAAAGCCCAAAUAACUUCACAAAUGUAACAGUUUAAGCUCUUAUCAGCCAUGUAUACCACACUGAGAUGAGUAUAUCAUAUUUCACAUAAUAUAAAAUAGAAGUAACAUCAUACAUUUCACUCUUAUUUCUCCUUCUGGAAGCCACCAUGCCCUAACUCAUUCUCUUUCUAAAUUUCAAAACAUCCAAACAUUUCCCAGCUUAUUUUAUUUGCAACACAAACUAGCAUUUUUCUUUUUAUUCAUAAGCUAAAAACUUUAUCACUGAAAUCAUUUUAUACUGCCACGUAUCAUUCUUCACUCUCUCAAUACAGUGCUCUUCUCAUUGGUUAGUCAAUAGUUUAUAAGAGUUCCAUAUUUUUAUCUUUGGUUGAGAUGUAUUAAUUGAUUAGAGAUACUUUUACAAUUGUAAUUAAAAAGUUUAAUCAUUAAAUUUAAUGAGACAGGUAUACGGAGGUUCAGAAGAAAUGUAAGGAAGUGAGACAAGAAGAGAAAGGGAGGUUACGAAAAGUGAGAUUAGGAAAAUAAACGGAAGACCACGUUGAUACUGACUGGAAAACGUGGAAGGUUUACUAAUUAAUCAGUGCUAACAUGACCACAAAGCAUAUGUUACUAUUUUUACUAUUGGAACCCACCGUUAAGUAGUCAAAGUUGCAGGAUAAAGUGUCUGAAAACAUAUAAAACAGAUAAAAUGAUGAAAGUGUAAACAGGUACAUCUUUUCUGAAGGCAGUUUGGUGUGCACUAAAGUGCAGAAUAUACCUUGCAAUUCUACUCCCAUGAAUAUAACAGAAAGUAAUUACUGAGUUGGGAGCGGUGGCCCAUGCCUGUAACCCCAGCACUUUGGGAGGCCUAGGUGUUGGAUCAUUUGAGGUCAGGAGUUUGAGACCAGCCUAGCCAACAUGGUGAAACCCCCUCUCUCCUAAAACUACAAAAAUUAGCCGGGCAUGGUAUUGCAUGCCUGUAAUCCCAGCUACUAGAGAGGCUGAGGCAUGAGAAUCGCUUGAACCCGGGAGGCAGAAGUUGCAGUAAGCUGAGAGAUCGCACCACUGCACUCCCGCCUGGGUGACAGAGUGAGACUCUGUCUCAAAAAAAAAAAAAAAAAAGUGCAAGGAUGUUUAUUACAGUAUAGUAAAUCGCAAGCAGGAAAAUCCUAAAUGUAUUAUGUUGGUACUAAAGUAAUUGUGGUCUUUGCCGUUAAAAGUAGUAAAUCCAUGGAGAAUGGGUUAAAUAAAUGAUAGUUUAUGUAUACACACAAAUACCAUGUGGCUGGUAAAAAUGAUGGUGUAAAUUAUAUUUACAGACUGAUAAACGUAAAAAGUAUCUGGGACAUAGCAUUAUUGAAAAGAAAGCAGGCUAGUGAAUACUAUAAUUAUUUUGUAAAAGUCUCUUAUGGACAUAAGUUAUAUAUUUACAUGGCCAUAUUUUGCACAGGAAAUAUGAAAAAGUAUAUAUAUCAAACAGUAAUGGCUUAUUUUUAUCUUCUGGGAGUUUUGCAGGUGCUUCCCUCUUUACACCAUUAUAUGUCAUCUGAAGUUUUGUUCUGAUUCUGUAUUAUUUCAUUUCUAAAAGAAAAGCCCCAAAACCAAGUGCUGUUUUCCUGGUCUGUGGAAACAGAGUCUCCGAGGAAUUAGGCUAGACAUGGUAAGAACAAAGUUCUGUUGUGAUAAAAGCUUUGGCCUGAGGUUCCAACCAUUAAGUUUGCCAGCUCAGACUUGAUCUUGAAUGAAGGCGGGGUUCUGUGACUGGAGACCAUUUCUCUCCUUUUGUAUUUGUUGGUGUGUCCAAAAACCUCAGAUCUCCCAGCUUCAGGCUUCUUUGAGGGCAGUGCUAAAUUGGUUGAAACCUUAUUUGAGGCAGUUCCUGAAAAGGGUAGGUGAAAUUUCCUGCUGAUAAAAGGCAUCUUGUGUCUUGUUCAUCCUUAGCAAAUUGCCAAUUAGCAAAGAAGAGAGGGCAGAUGAAGUACCAGCCAAUUUGAAAUUGGUGUGGACUUCCAUCAAGGUAUAUUAAUUCACUUUACCUAGAUGAUUCGAAAUUAGUUGCUUUUUUCUUUUAAUCCUAAAAGGAUAAUUUUCUUCAUGUUCUUCUUGUCAUGUCAGCCAAAUCCUAUAGUGUCAACUUUCAGUAAAUGUAUCUUAGAUAUAACUAUGGACCAAUCUAGAUCUUUCUCUCUCUAUCAUCUAUACAGUUUAGAGAUUUUAAAACUCUUACCACUUAGUUUGAAAUUUUAUUUUAAUUUAUAAAAUGAUAUAUUCUUAUGUAAAAAAUUCAGACAAUAAAGAUGUAUUUAAAGUAAAAGGCAAAAGUUGUCUGUUUUAACUUCAUCCCCAUUUUUUCACUCCCUUGAGGAAACCACAAUGAACUGCUUCGUCUGUUCAAACAUACACUUAUAUGCCAAGACUUUCCUCUCACAGAAUAUGCAGUAUGUUUCCUUUUUUAAAGAAAAAACCCCUCAAUAUUGUAGCAUAAACAUUAAUGGCUGCAUGGUAUAGCAUAAUGUGAGCAUAUCAUCAUUUAUUUAACCAUCCCCAUGACAACCAACAUUUAGGUUGUCUCUAUUUUUUUUUCUGUUUUAAAUAAAACUUAAUGUACAUCUUGCACAUUUGUGUCAUUAUGCAAGUCUAGAAUCCUGGAUGGAGAAUUGUCAAGCCAAAAGUGUGAGCAUUUUGAUAGACCAAGUAUCAGCAGGAUUGAUGACUUUGGAGCACUUCACAAGCCGAGGUGCAAACAUUUCUUUCUCCCAACUGCCCUCUUCUCUGUGUCCUCCAACAGGCACAGUCUGUGACAGAUGAGAACAGGUUCAAAUUGGCUCCAGGCUGAAGUUUCCACAGAGCUGAGAAGAAUGAUCUGCAUAAUCAGUCUCUCACCAGGGAGCUCCUGGAGCUCAGACAGGCCCUCAGCGAGGCACGCAUGUUCCUAGACAGAGUCUCACUCUGCACACAGGCUGGAGUACAGUGGCAUGAUCAUAGCAGCCUCAAACUCCUGGGCUUCAGCGAUCCUCCUGCCUCAGACUCCUGAGGAACUGGGACUGACUACAG